Molecule: long non-coding RNA, 331 nt
Organism: Gasterosteus aculeatus aculeatus (three-spined stickleback)
Lineage: Eukaryota; Metazoa; Chordata; Actinopteri; Perciformes; Gasterosteidae
Source: Ensembl
CAGGACCUUUUCACAGUGUGAGCUGUUUUCUUUGCCAGUGGCAGACCGACAAGUCGUAGCGAAGAGGAAACCUUUGAAAUGCAGAGGAUUGCCUGGAUCAAGCAGAUGUCAAGUCCCUGCAAGUUGGUUUUCACUGGCAAACCAUUGCCUGCCAGUUCAACCUGGCCCGUAGCGCUCAACGAGGGUGCACAUUAGUACCCUUACAGGUUCUAUCUGGUGGAACGAGCUCUCUGAAGACAUCAGGACCACCGAGAGCCUUCACAUCUUCCGCCGCAAACAGCAGACACACCUCUUCAGACUCUACCUCCACUAAAAGACUAACAAAUUGUAG